UGAAUAUCUGAUGUGGUUGUAGCUGGCUCCCUUAAAGAGCAUGUGCACACCCGUCACCUUUAUCUUUCCACCUGUGCACACACUGUAGUCCCGGAUACCUCUCGCUGCAAGGCGGAUGCAGAGGCUGCUGUGCUUUCGAAAGAAGGUCAGCUUUCUCUGAAUUUCCGGGUCUACGAAUUUUAUACACCCCAAACGAAUGUUAUAGAAUGUAAUCUUUAUCAGGCCUUUGUGCCUAUAAAACCUAUACAACUUUCAGCAACGGAUCUCUUGGCUCUCGCAUCGAUGAAGAACGCAGCGAAAUGCGAUAAGUAAUGUGAAUUGCAGAAUUCAGUGAAUCAUCGAAUCUUUGAACGCACCUUGCGCUCCUUGGUAUUCCGAGGAGCAUGCCUGUUUGAGUGUCAUUAAAUUCUCAACCUCACCCAUUUUUGUAAUGAAAGUGUGUGUGUAGGCUUGGAUGUGGAGGCUAUGCAGGUCCGCCAUACAGGUGGUCUGCUCCUCUGAAAUGUAUUAGUGGGUUGUUCCCCUAAUCUAUUGGUGUGAUAAUUAUCUACGCCGUGGAUCAGGUUGGUAACGAUAGACCUGCUUCUAACCGUCCGACUCGGACAACAUUUGACAUUUUUGACCUCAAAUCAGGUAAGACUACCCGCUGAACUUA
RNAcentral lists this ribosomal RNA (655 nucleotides) under Coprinopsis sp. F11. RNAcentral's name for it is "eukaryotic LSU rRNA". The stretch from base 248 to 401 matches the Rfam family "5.8S ribosomal RNA". The record is from RNAcentral. Lineage: Eukaryota; Fungi; Basidiomycota; Agaricomycetes; Agaricales; Psathyrellaceae.